Molecule: transfer RNA, 84 nt
Filed under: Candidatus Uhrbacteria bacterium CG22_combo_CG10-13_8_21_14_all_47_17
Lineage: Bacteria; Candidatus Uhriibacteriota
Description: tRNA-Leu
Rfam family: tRNA
About the family: Transfer RNA (tRNA) molecules are approximately 80 nucleotides in length. Their secondary structure includes four short double-helical elements and three loops (D, anti-codon, and T loops).
Source: RNAcentral
GCCCGGAUGGCGGAAUGGUAUACGCAACAGACUUAAAAUCUGUGGUCGAAAGACAUGUGGGUUCGAGUCCCACUCCGGGCACCA